AACAAGGAUUCCCCUAGUAACUGCGAGUGAAGCGGGAAAAGCUCAAAUUUAAAAUCUGGCGGUCUCUGGCCGUCCGAGUUGUAAUCUAGAGAAGUAAUGCCCGUGCUGGACCGUGUAUAAGUCUCCUGGGAUGGGGCGUCAUAGAGGGUGAGAAUCCCGUCUUUGACACGGACUACCAGUGCAUUGUGGUAUGCUCUCAAAGAGUCGAGUUGUUUGGGAAUGCAGCUCAAAAUGGGUGGUAAAUUCCAUCUAAAGCUAAAUAUUGGCGAGAGACCGAUAGCGAACAAGUACCGUGAGGGAAAGAUGAAAAGAACUUUGGAAAGAGAGUUAAACAGUACGUGAAAUUGCUGAAAGGGAAACGCUUGAAGUCAGUCGCGUUGGCCAGGGAUCAGCCUUGCUUUUGCAUGGUGUACUUUCUGGUUGACGGGUCAGCAUCAAUUUUGACUGCUGGAAAAGGGCCUGGGGAAUGUGGCAGCUUCGGCUGUGUUAUAGCCCCUAGUCACAUACAGCGGUUGGGAUUGAGGAACUCAGCACGCCGCAAGGCCGGGUUU
Molecule: ribosomal RNA, 551 nt
Filed under: Agaricus fuscovelatus
Lineage: Eukaryota; Fungi; Basidiomycota; Agaricomycetes; Agaricales; Agaricaceae
Description: LSU rRNA
Rfam family: Eukaryotic large subunit ribosomal RNA
Source: RNAcentral